CUUGCUCCUUGGGACCUCCCUACCCCAUUGAAGUUGGCAUUUUAAAAUACUUUAGGUUAAGGUAACAGUAGGGAUUAAGGUUAGGGUUAAGGUAACAGUAGGGAUUAGGGUUAGGGUUAAGGUAACUGUAGGGAUUAAGGUUAGGGUUAAGGUAACUGUAGGGAUUAAGGUUAGGGUAACAGUAGGGAUUAAGGUUAGGGUUAAGGUAACUGUAGGGAUUAAGGUUAGGGUAACAGUAGGGAUUAAGGUUAGGGUUAAGGUAACUGUAGGGAUUAAGGUUAGGGUAACAGUAGGGAUUAAGGUUAGGGUUGAGGUAACUGUAGGGAUUAAGGUUAGGGUUAGGGUAACAGUAGGGAUUAAGGUUAGGGUUAGGGUAACAGUAGGGAUUAAGGUUAGGGUUAGGUUUAGGGUAACAGUAGGGGUUAAAGUUAGGGUUAGGGUAACAGUAGGGAUUAAGGUUAGGGUUAGUUUAGGGACAUCCCAAGGAUCCCAGAUAGCACUGACCCAAGGUUUACAGUAACAAGGAAGUGCUGGUCGGUGACUGUUGGGUCAGAGUAGGGAAAUCACUUCAGUUUAAAUGGGUAUAAAAUACAGGAUAUACUGUAUGUAAUGUAGGCCACAUACGGACCGUUUCCACCAUCUCUCGCUGGGUGUGUG
This 657-nucleotide long non-coding RNA is filed under the name Salmo salar (Atlantic salmon). RNAcentral's name for it is "lncRNA (ENSSSAG00000110452.1)". Lineage: Eukaryota; Metazoa; Chordata; Actinopteri; Salmoniformes; Salmonidae. The record is from RNAcentral.